RNAcentral lists this long non-coding RNA (338 nucleotides) under Sorghum bicolor (sorghum). Its description in RNAcentral is "long non-coding RNA (SBIC_LNC014741)". Lineage: Eukaryota; Viridiplantae; Streptophyta; Magnoliopsida; Poales; Poaceae. The record is from RNAcentral.
CUGGCCGAGCCCAUCGAUCUUCACUCUUUUGCUGUGUUCUUCAUUUGGAGUUGCUUGUUCUUGCUCUCAUCUCCGGCUAUUGAUUCAUUUCAUGAUUUCUACACCGUCAUCGACUUGUUAAGAGGUCACUAGCUUCAUCUUCUCAACAUUUAGCAGCGGCAUAUGUCAUUUCCUAGUGUUAUGUAUAUUGUUUUUUAUUUUAUGGUUGCACAUUUUUUUAGAGAAAUAGUGAUAAUAUGUUUUUUUAUUUUAAUUAGUUUAAAAAAAAUUAAAAAUAUAUAAUACUUUAAUUUGCAAUUUUUGACCGAUUUAAUUAGUUAAUUAUAACUAGUAUGCAU